CAGCAGCCGCGGUAAUACGGGGGUGGCGAGCGUUGUCCGGAAUUACUAGGCGUAAAGGGCAGGUAGGCGGUUGUAUAAGUUAAUUGUUAAAGGCCCAUGCUCACCAUGGGUAGGGCAGUUGAUACUGUAUGACUGGAAGCGAGUGGGGGAAGACGGAAUUCCCGGUGUAGCGGUGGAAUGCGCAGAUAUCGGGAGGAACACCAAAGGCGCAGGCAGUCUUCUACGCUUGUCUUGACGCUAAACUGCGAAGGUGCGGGUAUCAAACAGGAUUAGAUACCCUGGUAGUCCGCACAGUAAACGAUAAUCACUANGUGUCGGUGGGAUAGACCUGUCGGUGCCGCAGCUAACGCGAUAAGUGAUUCGCCUGGGGAGUACGAUCGCAAGGUUGAAACUCAAAGGAAUUGACGGGGGCCCGCACAAGCGGUGGAGCAUGUGGUUUAAUUCGAUGCAACGCGAAGAACCUUACCUGGGCUUGACAUCUAUCGGAUCUUUCACAGAUGGAGGAGUGCCCUUCGG
RNAcentral lists this ribosomal RNA (516 nucleotides) under uncultured bacterium. RNAcentral describes it as "bacterial SSU rRNA". It matches the Rfam family "Bacterial small subunit ribosomal RNA", at positions 509 to 1024 of the family's 1533-position model. The record is from RNAcentral.